GACGAACGCUGGCGGCGUGCUUAACACAUGCAAGUCGAGCGGUAAGGCCCUUUCGGGGUACACGAGCGGCGAACGGGUGAGUAACACGUGGGUGACCUGCCCUCAGCUCUGGGAUAAGCCUGGGAAACCGGGUCUAAUACCGGAUAUGACUCCAUGACGCAUGUUGUGGGGUGGAAAGCCUUGUGCGGCUGAGGAUGGGCCCGCGGCCUAUCAGCUUGUUGGUGGGGNGAUGGCCUACCAAGGCGACGACGGGUAGCCGGCCUGAGAGGGCGACCGGCCACACUGGGACUGAGACACGGCCCAGACUCCUACGGGAGGC
Molecule: ribosomal RNA, 319 nt
Filed under: uncultured bacterium
Lineage: Bacteria
Description: bacterial SSU rRNA
Rfam family: Bacterial small subunit ribosomal RNA
Source: RNAcentral